Cyprinus carpio (common carp) is the source of this 1011-nucleotide long non-coding RNA. RefSeq lists it as uncharacterized. Lineage: Eukaryota; Metazoa; Chordata; Actinopteri; Cypriniformes; Cyprinidae. The record is from RefSeq and is a predicted model, not a curated record.
GACCUGCAUUGCAUGUAAAAAAAUAAUAUAUAUAUAUAUAUAUAUAUAUAUAUAUAUAUAUAUAUAUAUAUAUAUAUAUAUAUAUAAAUUAAAACCAACGCCAGAGCAUCAUCGUUGAAUUUACGGUAAAAUUUAAAAAGUCUGUCCCAAUAACAUCAAAGAGGCACAACUUGCACAAUCGCAUUGGAAACUGCGAAGUGCAUGCACUGGGAAGAUCGUGUUGUUUAACCCGACGGCUUUAGGACCUUCCAGAUUCCAGAAGCGUCGAGCUUUAUUUGUGGAUUGGGUUGCAUCCUGCUCGCUGUUUCGCUACAAUGUCAGCAGCACGCCUGAUUUUACUCAUCGCUUGCUGCAUAACGUUUUUCCACUCUGGAAAUGCUCAGCUGGGAGAGUCUAGACUACAUAAUAGACCUUAUGAAGUCCUGCUGAAGGAAAAUCUAGUUCUUCUAAUAAGUGUUCUGUGCACACUGCUGGUGGUCAUGAUUGGAAUGGCAGUGUGUGUCUACAAACCUCUUCGGCGCAGGUGACAAGCCCUCAGGAUGAAAGACGCCGGGAACUGAACACUACUAUGGAGAAGGCUUGGUUUUGAAUAUUAAUGAGCCGAGCCAAGCCAUUGGACGAGAGCAACGCAACGUCAGCACGAACUAUUUAAUAGUCGGGAUCCAACCCUUCGCUAUUGGAAGGUUGAGCAUGACCUAAUUAAUACUGAUAAAACCAUUGGCGUCUUCCCUGCAACGCUUUAAUUAAAUCUAGUCAGUAAUCAAGUCCAGAUCUCCCUAAACCUUAUACUUUAAGUGUUUAAAACUGAAGACUGUUUCAAACACAUGCGUACUAAAUUAGGAUGUUUUUUUUAUUACAGUUUAUAAGCUGCUAAAAUGUUUACAGUCUGAAUUUAUACGUAUUUAUUUUUGUAUUUAAUAUUUUCAUGUAUUUAUUGUAAGAUGUUUAUUUGAUUGUUUUUUUUGAAUGUCAGACCUCUUGAACAAAUUAAAGCCAAUGCCUGAAUCAGUA